This is a long non-coding RNA of Acyrthosiphon pisum (pea aphid), 1121 nucleotides long. RefSeq lists it as uncharacterized. Lineage: Eukaryota; Metazoa; Arthropoda; Insecta; Hemiptera; Aphididae. The transcript is spliced from 3 exons. The record is from RefSeq and is a predicted model, not a curated record.
AAUUGUUAUACUGGAACGACAUGAAAACAUUUUGAAGUUACGGAUGGCUUAAUACAAAUAGAUUUGUAUAUAAUUAUUGUAUACAAUUGCGGUGAAAUGACGCCUCAUAAUUCCCCUCCGGAGUCGGUUUCAUUGCAAGGCGGUUGGUCACCAUGGUUUUCGAACGGCCGAUCGCCUCCACUGAACUAAAUAUUAUUAUAGUUCAAUGAUCGCCUCUCUCACUCCCCGUAACCGCGAACAUAUAUCGCACGUACAAACGCGAGUACGCUUUCAAUGUCGUUUCACAUUCGAAAAAUCUUGUGAAAUAUUCACCUUCGCGAUCGUGUUAUUAUCAUCCAUAAACCGUUACUUACAGAAUAAUGAAUAAAUAAUUACUUCUAUAAUACCACAGAAUAUAAAUAUUACUAAUUCUUUACCAGUUCUUUACCAUUCUUUACCGGUCUAAUACCAGUAUACCACUUCCUUUUGUUGUCUGUACGCCCUUAUCACUAAUUCGUACAGAUGAUAACACUGAUACUGAAAACGAGCAAAGUUUUUAGACACCCCCCUCACCACUGCAGGGCAAGAAAAUAAUUUCAAAAUAUUAUGCUGCUACCUAUAUCAGAUUACGUACUAACCUAACCUUUUUAUAGUGUUUUAAUAUUUAAUACGAUUCGGCAUCGGAAUUUCGGUCAAGUUAAAAAAUUAAAUUCAUAGGUAAUUAUUAUAAAUAAUAAUAUGGCUGUAUCAUGUUCAGCGUAUGGGUGUACAAAUAAGCGACAGAAAGAAAACGGGAUACAUUUCCAUCGAUUUCCUCUAAAAAGACCAAAAGGUUUUAAAAAAAUGCUUACAUGAAAUACGACGAAAUAAUUUUACGCCCAACCAGUACAGCUAUUUAUGCAGUGAACAUUUCACACCUAGUGAUUAUUUAAAUGAAUCUCGUCCAGAGUUAGAUAAGAUAAGAAAUUGCUAAAAGACGAAGCAGUUCCAUCGGUCUUUAAAUUUCCUCAGCAUUUACAAAAAAAAAACAAUAAAUUAGUCGUCCACUACUUCUAAAUCGUCAAAAGGCCAAUGAUCAAAAUAAUAUGAUUCAUGCAAAUAUAGUUAAUGGAGCUGGCGAAGAUUCAUCAACUAAUACCAUG